UUAGUUUCAGUUAUCUGCUCCUGGGGGUAUCGAAUAUGGGGUGCCUUGUUACGACUUCACCCCAGUCAUGAAUCCUACCGUGGUAAUCGCCCUCCUUACAGUUAGGCUAACUACUUCUGGUAAAACCCACUCCCUGGCGGUCAGCGGGCGGUGUGUACAAGACCCGGGGAACGUGUUGCUACGACAUGCUGAUCGCGAUUGCCUGGCGAUUCCGACUUCCGCGAUCGAGUUGCAGACUACGAUCGGACUACGAUCAGGACAUCAAGAUUGCUCCCUCUUUGGAUGACCCUCUGUCCCGACCAUUGUACUGACGUGUGAAGCCCUACCCAUAAGGGCCAUGAGGACUGGUGCUCAUUACCUUCCUCCAAGUUUGUCACCGGCAGUCUCGAUGAUGCCCUUUCGUAGCAACCAUGACAAAGGUUUAAAACCGUUGCGGGACUUAACCCAAAGCAUCUCCUGACCACGAUGACGACAGCCAUGCGACGUGCUGUCUGGUUCCGGUUCUCUUGCGAGCACUCCGUCCCUUCGGGAUUCCAGACAUGUCAAGGUAGGUAAGGUUUUUCGCGUUGCAUCAGUUAAUCACAUCAUCCACCGCUUGUGCGGGUCCCCGUCAAUUCACAGCAGGUUUUUAAUCUUUCGACCGUACUCCCGGGCAGUUAACUUCACGCGUUAGCUGCGCUACCAGGCCCGAAGGCCCCAACGAAAGCUAGUUGACAUCGUUUAGGGCGUGGACUACCAGGGUAUCUAAUCCUGUUUUGCUCCCCAUGCUUCGUGCGUGAACUCAGUGUUAUCCCAGGAGGCUGCCUUCGCCAUCGGUAGCUGCCUCCGCAUAUCCGCAUUUCCUGCCUGCGGAUCCACCUCCCUCCUGACACACUCUAGCUCGGUAGUUAAAAAUGCAGUUCCAAAGUUAAGCUCUGGGAUUUCACAUCUUUCUUUCCGAACCGCCUGCCGCUUUACGCCCAGUAAUUCCGAUUAACGCUUGUACCCCUACAGCUAUUACCGCGGCUGCUGGCGUAGUUAAUGAGCGCUCGAACCUCUUGCGAACACCGUCAGUUUGCACGGGGUAUUAUCCCGAUGCCGUUUCUUUCUGCCAAAAGUGCUUUACAACCCGAAGGCCUUCAUCGCACGCGGGAUGGCUGGAUCAGGUUUCCCCCAUUGUCCAAAAUUCCCCCCACUGCUGCCUCCCGGCGAGGAACCGGACGCUGUCUCCAGUCCCAGUGUGGCUGGUCGCCGUCCUCUCAAACCAGCUACGGAUCGUCGCCAGUGAGCCGUUACCCCACCAACUAGCUAAGUCGAUGUCGGCCGCUCUAAUGGUGCGGGACAAAGAGGUCUGCGCUUCCCCCGAAGGGCGUACGACCAGCCGUACGCUGCAGCGUAGUUAUCCCCCGCUACUGGGCGAUUCCGAUACAUAUCACCAUUCUUUUUCAUACCGGGUGAUCCGUGCUGCCGUUCGACUUGUACCUGUGUGUAAAGCAUCCCGCCAGCGUUCAAUCUGGGCCAGGAUCGAC
RNAcentral lists this ribosomal RNA (1508 nucleotides) under uncultured Bordetella sp. RNAcentral describes it as "partial 16S-23S ribosomal RNA intergenic spacer". The record is from RNAcentral. Lineage: Bacteria; Pseudomonadati; Pseudomonadota; Betaproteobacteria; Burkholderiales; Alcaligenaceae.